Molecule: ribosomal RNA, 388 nt
Filed under: uncultured alpha proteobacterium SUR-FREE-8
Lineage: Bacteria; Pseudomonadati; Pseudomonadota; Alphaproteobacteria
Description: bacterial SSU rRNA
Rfam family: Bacterial small subunit ribosomal RNA
Source: RNAcentral
AACCCUAAUUUUAGUUGCCAUCAUUUAGUUGGGCACUCUGAAAGAACUGCCAGUGAUAAGCUGGAGGAAGGUGGGGAUGACGUCAAGUCCUCAUGGCCCUUACGUGUUGGGCUACACACGUGCUACAAUGGUAUUUACAACAGGAAGCAAGACGGCGACGUUUAGCAAAUCCUUAAAAAAUACCUCAGUUCGGAUUGCACUCUGCAACUCGAGUGCAUGAAGCUGGAAUUACUAGUAAUCGUGGAUCAGCGUGCCACGGUGAAUGCGUUCCCGGGUCUUGUACACACCGCCCGUCACACCAUGGGAGUUGGUUCUACCUUAAGGCAAGGCUUAAAACCCUUGACCACGGUAUAGUCAGCGACUGGGGUGAAGUCGUAACAAGGUAACC